GACGAACGCUGGCGGCGUGCUUAACACAUGCAAGUCGAACGAUGAAGCUAGAGCUUGCUCUGGUGGAUUAGUGGCGAACGGGUGAGUAACACGUGAGUAACCUGCCCCGAACUCUGGGAUAACUGCUGGAAACGGUAGCUAAUACCGGAUAUGACCAAUGAAGGCAUCUUCUGUUGGUGGAAAGAAUUUCGGUUCGGGAUGGACUCGCGGCCUAUCAGCUUGUUGGUGAGGUAACGGCUCACCAAGGCGACGACGGGUAGCCGGCCUGAAAGGAUGAUCGGCCACACUGGGACUGAGAAACGGCCCAGACUCCUACGGGAGGCAGCAGUGGGGAAUAUUGCACAAUGGGCGCAAGCCUGAUGCAGCAACGCCGCGUGAGGGACGACGGCCUUCGGGUUGUAAACCUCUUUUAGUAGGGAAGAAGCGAGAGUGACGGUACCUGCAGAAAAAGCACCGGCUAACUACGUGCCAGCCGCCGCGGUAA
Molecule: ribosomal RNA, 484 nt
Filed under: uncultured bacterium
Lineage: Bacteria
Description: partial 16S ribosomal RNA
Rfam family: Bacterial small subunit ribosomal RNA
Source: RNAcentral